AAAUGUGCGCUACAUUAAACACGGUUGUUCGUUAGGGGAUAAGACUCCCUCGCUUUCCUAUUCACACUUUUUCAUCACUUUUAUCCAUGGCGAUAACCUCAGCAGCUGCAGCAGUCCCAGCACUGUCUUCCCUCUCCCAUCGAGCUCCAAUUCCUUCCAUUUCCUUCCUCUUCCCCGACUCCACCAGACCCUUUUCUCUUUCCCGCUCAUUCCGCUCCUUUUCCCUCACUCCCCAAGCCAAAGCCUCAGACAUCGAAAUCUCCUUUUCCGACGACCUCAACCCCGAAGACGAAGCUGUCGCCUUUGACCCGCCAACACCCCCAGAAGGGUUCAUCCCUCCACCUGCUUUCGACGAUGGCCCCGAGGAAACCGAGGACGAAGUCGCCGCUGCCUAUGAGGAGCUCUACGGCCCAGCCUACAGUGGGGUCUCCGUUCUAGGCAACGAUGUUUAUGUAAUGGACUCUAAAGUGAAGAAAACGAGUGCAUUUGGGAAAGUUACGAAAGAAAAGGUGAGGGAUGGAUUUGAGGAAAGAGUGGUUCAAGUUAGAAGAGUGACUAAAGUGGUUAAAGGUGGGAAACAACUUCAUUUCAGGGCCAUUGUUGUGGUUGGUGAUAAGCAAGGGCAAGUUGGGGUUGGAGUUGGGAAAGCUAAGGAAGUCAUUGCUGCCGUUCAGAAAUCGGCUGUGAAUGCUCGGAGGAAUCUCAUUACUAUACCUAUGACAAAGUAUUUGACUUUCCCACACCGAUCCGAGGGUGACUAUGGGGCAGCUAAGGUGAUGCUUAGACCUGCCGCACCUGGUACUGGAGUGAUUGCAGGUGGUGCUGUGCGAAUAGUUCUUGAAAUGGCAGGUGUGGAGAAUGCUUUGGGCAAACAACUUGGAAGUAAAAAUGCCCUUAACAAUGCCAGAGCUACAGUUGUUGCUGUGCAGAAAAUGAAACAGUUCCGGGAGAUUGCUCAAGAACGAGGAAUCCCCAUGGAAGAGUUGUGGAAGUGAUGGCCUUGGAAGCGUGCUUCAUCUUUUCUCCUCGUGUUUUUCUGGGAAUGUAGAUUUACGCAAGGCUUCGGUAGUGUUUAUCUAACAUGAGCCAAGCUAAACUGGAAGAUUGGCAUCGCAGACUCUGUUCAAUGGUAAAACCAGAAGCCAUUAGCUGAAGCAUAGCCACCAUUAGCAUGUCUAGAUCAAUUCCUUAAAAAUAAGAAUGCAUGGAGAAGGAUAUUUCACUUCCAUAUCUUAACGCACUGAUCAUGACUUGCGGAGGCAACCAUUUCAGUCUGUAAACAAUCUGCCAGCGAAGAAAUUAGUCCCCUGUGUGCUUCAACUGUCCAUGUUUUAUUGCUCUCAACUGGAUUCCAUAAUUCCAGACACUGUUGAUAAAAAACAAUAAUAUUAAUAAAGAGAAACAAUGAUGUAUUAGUUGUUAAGAUUGCAAAAGGAUGACAAAAAGUGUGUAGAUGGGGCCAAGACAACUUCAGCCUAUUGGACUUAGCCAACCUUGUGUUUUCCACGUAACAACUAAUGUUAUUCUUAUAUUUUUCUUAACACCCCUUCCUCCACAAGAGGUUCACUUUACAUUCUUAUGUAUAUGUCGACACAUGAAGACAUGAUAACAUGUGUCUAAAACCCUCUUACAAGCUAACUAGUGAUGUAGUUGCAAACUUAUGAGAAACAAACAGUAUUUGCUAUAAUAUUCUGUAUAAUUGUCUUUACCUGGUAACCACCAAUGACCAAGAGUUGUGAGUACCCUGGAUGAAAUGUGCAGGACUGGAACUUGUUGCCUGUUGACCGCAAUUCAUGCAAGCAUUCUCCGCCAGAGACUGACCACAUUCGUGCACUGUCUUCACUGAUGGAGGCAAAAUACUUGCCACUAGGAUCCCAGCAAAUUGAAAGAACCUCUUUGUUAUGCCCCUGAAAGAAUAUAACAUUCGUUCAGAUAGGCAAGGAGAUAAAUGGACUUAGAAGCAUGCAAGUUAUAAUUACAUAGAAAGUGAAUCAACCUUCAAACAGGAUAGGGGCUUGUUAGUUUCAGCGUCAAUUACAUUCACAACAUUUCCCGAAGCAGUUGCAAUCAACUUUCCUGGUCGAGGCUGGAACCGGACUUGUUUAGUAGCUGACUGCAGUCACCUCAUAAGGAAAUUGAGAUAAGCAUCAGUAAGGAUUUGUUAGACAGCAUAGAAUUCUGAUGGAGUAAGACCAGAUGCAAGGCUAUCAUUAAAAGAGUCAUGCCAGACAAAAAGAAUAAUUCGAUGCUGGACUUCCUUUCAACACAAUUCAUUUUGUAGAAAACCACAAGGAUGUAAAACUAGAGAUUCUGAAAAUGUCAAUUUUAACCAUUUCAAUGUUUGUUAAGCAUAAACUGUCGUUCAAGAAGUA
Molecule: RNA transcript, 2372 nt
Organism: Gossypium raimondii (Peruvian cotton)
Lineage: Eukaryota; Viridiplantae; Streptophyta; Magnoliopsida; Malvales; Malvaceae
Gene name: 30S ribosomal protein S5, chloroplastic
Exons: 4
Source: RefSeq, a predicted model, not a curated record